Molecule: ribosomal RNA, 375 nt
Filed under: uncultured organism
Description: partial 16S ribosomal RNA
Rfam family: Bacterial small subunit ribosomal RNA
Source: RNAcentral
GGAGGGUGCGAGCGUUGUUCGGAAUUAUUGGGCGUAAAGCGCGCGUAGGCGGGUCGUUAAGUCUGGUGUGAAAGCCCUCGGCUCAACCGAGGAACUGCACUGGAUACUGGCGGUCUUGAGUCCUGGAGAGGGUGGCGGAAUUCCCAGUGUAGGGGUGAAAUUCGUAGAUAUUGGGAGGAACACCGGCGGCGAAGGCGGCCACCUGGACAGUGACUGACGCUGAGGCGCGAAAGCGUGGGUAGCAAACAGGAUUAGAUACCCUGGUAGUCCACGCCGUAAACGAUGGGUACUAGUUGGUGCGGGUAUUGACCCCCCUGCGCUGACGCAGCUAACGCAUUAAGUACCCCCGCCUGGGGAGUACGGCCGCAAGGCUAA